CAGUGGGGAAUAUUGGACAAUGGGGGAAACCCUGAUCCAGCGAUGCCGCGUGGGUGAAGAAGGCCUUCGGGUUGUAAAGCCCUUUAGGUUGGGAAGAAGGUAGUUAGUGGAUAAUACUAAUUAUUUGACGGUACCGACAGAAUAAGCACCGGCAAACUCUGUGCCAGCAGCCGCGGUAAUACAGAGGGUGCGAGCGUUAAUCGGAUUUACUGGGCGUAAAGGGUGCGUAGGCGGUUGAAUGUGUGGAAUGUGAAAGCCCCGGGCUUAACCUGGGAAGUGCAUACCAAACUAUUUAACUGGAGUAGAUGAGAGGGUGGCGGAAUUUCCGGUGUAGCGGUGAAAUGCGUAGAGAUCGGAAGGAACGUCAAUGGCGAAGGCAGCCACCUGGCAUCAUACUGACGCUGAGGCACGAAAGCGUGGGGAGCGAACAGGAUUAGA
Molecule: ribosomal RNA, 438 nt
Filed under: uncultured bacterium
Lineage: Bacteria
Description: bacterial SSU rRNA
Rfam family: Bacterial small subunit ribosomal RNA
Source: RNAcentral